This 21337-nucleotide long non-coding RNA is filed under the name Nicotiana tabacum (common tobacco). Its description in RNAcentral is "long non-coding RNA (NTAB_LNC004169)". Lineage: Eukaryota; Viridiplantae; Streptophyta; Magnoliopsida; Solanales; Solanaceae. The record is from RNAcentral.
UUUUUUUGAAAAUUUUGCCAAUUAAUAUUACUUCAGUUUUGAGUUUUAGGUGGAGCAUUAGGGUUUUCAUGAAAAGUUGUAAUCGAUAUAUUUUCCACCUUUAUGCUUGUGAACUGAUUCCAUGACGCAGGACAAUUUUAGGACUUUGUAUAUGCUAAGUGCAGUACAACACUUCGCUAAUAGGACAUGUUGGACACUGAGAAGAGUAAUUUUAGCACUGUAUUUUUAAAUUUAAAUUAGAUGCUCGAGUUCGAGUUCUAUUUAGAGGAUAGCUUUUCGACCUGUUUUGGAAUGAGAUAGUAGAUUCAUGUGAAUGAUCUAUGGGUUUUGGCUAUUAAACUCUGUUUCAUUGCGAUUUCAGGUAGUCCAAUGUUUCAUUGGGAUUUCAAGUAGUUCCAAUUUUUGGUUCAGUUAAGAAGAUUAUUCUUAGCCACUUUUGCGUAGCACGACACAUUUGGCCUUCUAGUCAGGUUGGAUUCAUAAUUCUUUCAAAUUUUAUUUAUAUCUUAUUUUUAAGUUUGUACUUUGAUUUGUGUAUUAUAGGCCAUUAUUCUUAUCUAGCAUGAGAUGGAAAGAGCUGGUGAAUUGUUCAUUUGAACAUUCAGUUGAAGUAACAUUCAUUGUCUAAUAGGCAAAAUGUGUGCUCUAGCAUAUCAUAUUCUUAAUAUACUCUUGCUAAAAUGGUCAUGAGCUAAUUUAAUGAAUAUAUUGAGCAUAAAUAUGAAUUUCUAGCUAAGAAAACUGUCCUAAAUUACUUUCGAAAUUUGAUAGCGAUUGUUAUUUAACUCUCUUCCCUGACAGAGAAAGAGACAUAAAGCUGUGGAAAAAGAUAGUAUUCUUCUCCAUAAAACAGCACCUACAAGGUAUUUCUUCUUUCCUUAUUCUUUGUAUGUGAUUUCCGAGCAUUGGACGACAAGUUUGGUUAAGCAUCAUUGGUUGUUUCAAGUCUCUCUAGUCAUAUAUGUGGAUUUUUCUUUGUGUGAUGUUCUUUUGGUUAAGUACUUUUGUGUUAUCUUUAUUUCUGCUCAAUAAUUCGUAUCAUUUUCCCCGUAUUAACUCUCUACUCUGAACUCAAUUUGUAUAUACAAGGGAGGCCUUUCCUUAGAGUGCAAGAGUGGUGAUGUAUAACUAGUUACUAGAUUCAAGUUCUGUUUUUUCUUUAUGUUGUUAUCCCUUUUAAAUGUUUGAGAAAGAACUGGGGUUGAUAUUGUUAAGUAGCAAUUUAUUCUACUUAGGAACAAUUGUUAGCAUUCUUAAUUUACUGAAAGAAUUUAUUUCUUUAGGAUCAACUUGUAAAUUCUGCUUUUUCUGGGAAGUCUAGUCUCUGAAUUCUAGUGCUUGUUGUUUUUCUAAUGUAGCUUGAUAACCAAAUCUAAGUUUAGAAUAGUCUAAUAUAUUUUGUCAGGUUAACAUAAUCAAGAACCGCAAACGUUGUAACUAGCACAAAGAAAAAGAAGAGGGUAAAUUUUGAAAAAAAUAAAUACACUCUUCUUGUACUUUAUUAUAUAGUUAUAAUUUUUUUAUGUGGACUUCUCGUACAUCAUUGCUGGUAGAUGUGAGAUCAAUUACUAGCAAGUGAAUGCUUGACUUUUGAAAAGAUGGAUCCAUAAAACUUUAUUGCAUAAUUUAUUCUGGAAGUUAAGGGAAUUAGCUCCAAUUAGGAGUGAUCUUAACAUAGGUGUAUGCUGGAUUCUCUGUCUUUUAUGAUUUAAUUAGUUUUUAGAUUUGUCUUUUCUGAUUUGGUUAGUAAUGGAGAGAUGAUUUUAUUUGAUGUCAUCGAAAUUGUAAGGAGUACGCUUAUUCGAUCAUCACUUUGUUCUUUUGAUACAAUAAUAAAAGUUAUUUUUUAAAAAUAUAUUUUGGACUUGUUACAUUGAUAUGGUGUUUCAUAUUUAUGAAAUUACAGACUCGAUAUAAAUAUUUAUGUCACUAUGAAAGUAUUAACAUUAACCUAAAUGUUGAAAUUUUUGAUAUGACAUUUCCCAAAAGUUAUAAAUAAAUGCCGUGAAUCUUUUAUUGACAUUUUAAUAUAAAUGUCAAAAAUAUGAUUGUGACAUUUUAUUAAGGCUAUAAAUACAUGUCGUAAAUCUUUUACCAACAUUAGGCUAAAUGUCAUAAAUUUCAAGUGACAAUUUUAUAAAUGUCGCAAAUCUCUUACCAACAUUAACAUAAAUGUCAGAAAAUUUCCGACCCCAAAAUUUACGACAUUUAGUACAAAUGUAAAUUAAAUGUCGGUAAAUGAAUUAACGACAUUUAAGUGAACUAAUAUGACAUUUAUAUAAUGUCGUCGUAUCCUCAUUUUAUUGUAGUGUGUAUUAAGAUACUAGUCUUUCUUCUGUAGCUUGUGACUUAUGACUACCGGAUUUUGGAAAUUUACUGUGUAUACCCGAGUGUUGGGUUUUGUACAUGCCGAGCGACAUUUUAUCAACUACUUAUUAUUUUAUUGCAGUUUAUUAUUAAUUUUACUUUUAUUUCCAUUUUUUCCGCCUUUUGUUAGGCUUACCUAGUCGUAGAGACUAGGUGCCGUCAUGACAUCUUACGGAGGGAAAAUUAGGUCGUGACAUCAACAUCCAGUCAACCAUUUCAACUUAAGCUUUCAACCGUGAGACUAAGUAUCUUACUUCCUUCCAAAAACCCCAUCGGACCCGAACUGACUACCCCGACAAGUCAUAUAACAGCUAUAUAGUACAAAAUGAGCAGUAAAUGAGGCUAUAACUCUCAAAAUGACCGGCCGGGUCGUUACCCCUCUUAAACAAACGUUCGCCCUCGAACGGGUCUAGAAACAUACUUGAAGUCUGAAAUAGGUAUGGAUAUCUGCUUCGCAUUUCCCGCCCAGUCUCCCAAGUAGCCUCCUCAACUGGCUGACCUCUACACUGAACCUUCACUAAAGUUAUGUCCUUUGACCAUAACUUUCAAACCUGUCGAUCCAAAAAGGUCACCGGCUCCAUAUCAUAAGUCAAAUCACCAUCUAACUAGACCGUGUUGAAAUCCAAAACAUCAGACGGAGCAUUGACAUACAUCCGGAGCAUAGAAACAUGAAAUACUGGAUGCACACUCGACAAACUAGGUGGCAAGGCCAGCUUAUAAGCCACCUCCCCAAUUCUCUGAAAUACCUCAAACGGCCCAAUAUACUGAGGGCUCAACUUGCCCUUCUUCCCGAACCUCAUAACACCCUUCAUGGGUGAAACCUUGAGCAGAAGCUUCUCCCCAACCAUGUAAGCAACAUCACAGACCUUCCUAUCGGCAUAACUCUUCUGUCUAGGCUGCGCCGUGCAAAGCCGAUCCUGAAUCAAUUUGACCUUGUCCAAAGCAUCGUGAAAUAAGUCAGUACCCAAUAGCCUAGCCUCACCAGGCUCAAACCAGCCCACCGUAGAUCUACGCCGUCUCCCAUACAAAGCCUCAUACGGAGCCAUCUGAAUGCUCGACUGGUAGCUAUUGUUGUAGGCAAACUCCGCGAGUGGCAGAAACUGAUCCCAAGGACCCUCAAAAUCAAUGACAUAAGUGCGUAGCAUGUCCUCCAAUAUCUGAAUAGUGCGCUCUUACAAUCCGUCUGUCUGAGGGUGAAAUGCUAUGCUCAACUAAACCUAGGUACCCAACUCUCGCUGCAUGGAUCUCCAAAACUACAAUGCAAACUGUGUGCCCCGAUCUGAAAUGAUGGAUACUGGCACACCGUGGAGGCGGACAAUCUCUCAGAUGUAAAUCUCAGCCAACCGCUCCAAAGUAUAAGUAGUCCCAAUUGGAAUGAAGUAUGCGGACUUGGUCAGCCGAUCCACAAUCACCCAAAUAGCAUCGAACUUCCUCAAAGUACGUGGGAGCCCAACUAUAAAAUCCAUGGUGAUCCGCUCCUAUUUUCACUCUGGAAUCUCUAACCUAUGAAUCAAUCCGCCCGGUCUCUGAUGCUCAUACUUCACCUGCUGACAGUUGAGGCACCGAGCUACAAACCCCAUUAUAUCCUUCUUCAUUCUCCUCCACCAAUAGUGCUGCCUCAAGUUCUAAUACAUCUUUGCGGCACCCGGAUGAAUGGAAUACCGCAAACUGUGGGCCUUCUCAAGAAUCAACUCACGUAGCCCAUCCACAUUAGGCACACAAAUCUGACCCUGCAUCCUCAAUACCCCAUCAUCCCCAAUAGUAACAUUUCUGGCAUCACCGUGCUGAAUUGUGUCCUUAAGAACAAGCAAAUGAGGAUCAUCAUACUGUCGCUCUCUUAUGCGAUCAUAUAAGGAAGACCGAGAAACCACACAAGCUAGAACCCGACUGGGCUCCGAGACAUCUAAUCUCACGAAUGGGUUGGUCAAAGCCUGAACAUCAACUGCAAAAGGUCUCUCACCAAUAGGAAUGAAUUCAAGGCUACCCAUACCCACCGCCUUUCUACUCAAGGCAUCGGCUACCACAUUAGCCUUCCUGGGAUGAUACAGAAUAGUGAUAUCAUAGUCCUUUAGCAGCUCCAACCAUCUUCGCUGCCUCAAAUUUAUAUCCUUCAAGUUGAACAAAUGCUGGAGACUCCGAUGAUCUGUAAACACCUCACAAGACACACCGUAGAGAUAAUGCCUCCAAAUCUUCAAUGCAUGAACGAUGACAGCUAACUCCAAAUCAUGGACAUGGUAGUUCUUCUCAUGAGGCUUCAACUGGCGCGAGGAAUUAGCAAUCCCUCUAUCCUCCUACAUCAAGACACAUCCAAUACCAAUCCGAGAAGUAUCAUAAUACACUGUAUAAGAACCAGAAGCUGAAGGUAGAACUAGAACUAGAACUGGAGCUGUGGUCAAGGCAGUUUUGAGCUUCUUAAAGCUCUCCUCACACUUAUCCGGUCACCUAAAAAUAGCACCCUUUUGGGUCAAUUUGCUCAAAGGCGAUGCAAUAGACGAGAAACCCUCCACAAAGUGACGAUAAUAACCGGCCAAGCCGAGAAAGCUCCAAAUCUCCGUAGCUAAGGACGGUCUGGGCCAACUCUGAACUGCCUUUGUCUUCUUCGGAUCUACCUGAAUCCCUUCACUGGAUACCACGUGCCCCAAGAAUGCCACUGAACUAAGCCAAAACACACAUUUGGAGAACUUAGCAUAAAGUUUCUCCUCCUUCAACCGAUGCAACACAAUCCUCAAAUAUUAGGCAUGCUCCUCAUGGAUACGAGAGUACACCAGGAUGUCAUCAAGGAACACUAUGACAAACGAGUCAAGAUAAGGCUGAAAUACAUUGUUCAUCAGAUGCAUGAAUGUUGCUGGGGCAUUGGUCAGCCCAAAAGACAUCAAAAGAACUCAUAAUGACCAUAACAGGUCCUGAAUGUCGUCUUUAGAAUAUCCGAGUCCCGAAUCUUCAACUGGUGAUACCCAGACCGCAAGUCAAUCGUAGAGAACACCCUCGCUCCCUGGAGCUGGUCAAAUAGAUCAUCAAUGCGUGGCAAAGGAUACUUGUUCUUGAUUGUAACUUUGUUUAACUGCCUAUAAUCUAUACACAUCCGCAUAGUGUCAUCCUUAUUCUUCACAAACAGAAUCGGUGCACCCCAAGCCGACAUACUAGGCCUAAUAAACCCCUUAUCAAGAAGCUCUUGAAGCUGAACCUUCAAUUCCUUCAAUUCAUCUGGCGCCAUACGAUACGGAGGAAUAGAAAUGGGCUGAGUGCCCGGCACCAAGUCAAUACAAAGUCAAUAUCCCUAUCGGACGGCAUGCCUGGCAGGUCUGCUGGAAACACAUCCAGAAAAUCUCGCACCACCGAAAUAGAAUCAAUAGAAGGAGUAUCAACACUACAUCCCUCAUAAAGGCCAAAUAAGAUAAACAACCCUUCCCAACCAUCCGCUGGACCUUCAAAUAUGAAAUCACUAUAAUGGGAACAUAAUCUAGAGAACCUCUCCACUUGAUCCUUGGCAACCCCGACAUCACCAACGUCACGGUCUUAGCAUGAUAAGCCUCCCACAUCUGAAGGCAGUCCCAGUGAACUUAAAAGUAGUAAACGAGACCCCACUGGUCUCCAGAAUACCCGCAGUACGUAUAAUCUGCUGGCAUUUAUCCAAGAAACCCUGAGCAUCCUCUGACUCAGCACCGCUAAAUGAUAGAGGCUGAAACCUCCCAAAUCUCUCAAGUCUCCUAUGCUCAUCAUCAGUUAUAACGGGGACCACCUGGGCCUGAGCAGCUGCAAUCGACUGGGCUGGUAGUACCCCCGGUGUUUGAAGUCCCUGCAUCACCUGCUCUGGAGUACGGGCGGCGGGGGUAUGAGUACCUCCCCCGGCCUGAUAAGUGGCUGGUGCGGCCUGAGCUGAAACCACCUGACCAAGGUCAGUGCAAACAGUCAAUAUCUGGGUCAACGCCUCCUGAAGGCCUAUAAUCACAAUGGGCACAGCUGGUGCCUGAGCUGGCCCCACUGGCUCAACCACAAUCGGAACCUGCUCCUGACCUAGAGCAACUGGUGGAUCUGCAGGUGCUUCUCUAGCUGCUGUACGAGCUGCACCUCUGCCCCUACCACGACCUCGGCCUCUCGUGGCCCUAGCUGGCAGUACUGGUGGUUGUCCGUCCUGCCCAAUAGCACGUGUGCUCACCAUUUGUGAGAGAAUAGAACAACAAAAAUUUAGUGACCGGAAUCAACAAAUCCGCAUGACAAGAAUACAAGAAUGUGAAGUUUCCUAAGGGUUCGGAAGCCUUUCGAAGAUAAGUACAAACGUCUCCAUACCGAUCCGCAAGACUCUACUAAACCUGCUCAUGACUCGUGAGACUUAUGUAACCUAGGCUCUAAUACCCACUUGUCACGACCCAAAAUCCUAAACUGUCGUGAUGGCGCCUAUCGUGGUACUAGGCAAGCCAACAAUUCAAAAUAUUUCCAACACUUUUAAUAGAAAAUGAAUUAAAGCAGUUUAAAUAAUAAAAGUUCUCAUAAAUAGGAUAGAAACCCAAAACACAACACGGAAGUUCCCAACUAUCGGGGUGUCACAGAGUACAUGAGCAACUGUACAUCACAAGUCUGAAAAAUAUUGUCUAUGAUAGUCUGAAACUAAAUAUAAUAAGUGAAAAGAUAGGAAAGGAGAGACAAGGUCUGCAAAACGCCAAGUAGCUACCUCGAUGGUCUCCGAGAAUCCGAACUCCACAACUCAGCAACCACCGUGACCGGAAGCACCUAGAUCUGCACACAAGGUGCAGGGUGUAGCGUGAGUACAACCAACUUAAUAAGUAACAAAUCUAAUCUUUGGACUGAAAGGUAGUGACGAACUUUGCAGGUACAGUUGAACAUAGAAGUAACAGUACAUGAAUGUAGGCAUGCUUCCAAGUUCAACAGUUAAUCUCAAUUCAAGUAAAAUAGAUCAAAUUCUAAAUGAUAUAAGGAGUAUGACCUCUCUACAUCUACAUGCCAAUGCACAUGUCGUAUGUGAUGCACCACACUGAAAGUUUCGUGUACUCACACUCUCAGAAUACUCAAUCGCUCAAUACUGUAUAUGGCCAAUCCAGCCUCAGCCCAAGGGAACAUCCAUCCCCAAUAUAAAUGAUUCGGACAAGAUCCAUGUCCAGGGAAGAUUCAUCCCCAAUAUAAAUGAUUCGGACAAGAUCCAUGUCUAGGGAAGAUCCAUCCCUCAAUAUAACCAAUUACGCUCGCUGGGGAUGUGUAUAGACUCUGGAGGGGCUCCUUCAGCCCAAGCGCUAUAAUAAGCCAGAUCCAGGCAUAAAUCAAUAAACAUGAUGCGGCGUGCAACCCAAUCCCAUAACUGUCACUCUCAAUUAGGCCCUCGGCCUCACUCAAUCAUCAAUCUCUCUAGUCUUUCUCUCUCUCGGGCUCACAGUGUCGUGAACCUAGCCCAAAAUGGUGAUAUGACAUAGCAAUAAAUAGUAACAGAGACUAAGAAAUGAUAUGCAAUGAAUAAAUAUGACUAAGUACGAAAUGUCAAUGUAAUCAAUAAGUCAACAGCAAGGAAGCGACCACUAUAGGUCACAACAGUACCGGCAAUAACCUAAACAUGAUUGACAGCUCAAUUACUUAUCACAUGAUGAAAACACAGACAUCAACAAGAAAUAUCCACUAUACAGUUCUAUGGAAUCGACUAGGUCACAGUUCUUACGGUACACGCCCACACAUCCGUCACUUGGCAUGUGCGUCACCUCAACACCAAUCAUAUAACACAAAAUUCAGGAUUUCGAACCCUUAGAGCCAAGUUUAGAAGUGUUACUUACCUCAAUCCGAGCUUAUCUCUACUCCAACACACCCUUGCCUCACGAAAUGGCCUCUGAAUGCCUCGAAUCUAGCCAUAAACAAUUCGAUAUAAUCAACACGGGAUAAACGAAUCAAUUCCAGAAGAAAUAUACUAAGUUAUUAAUCAAAAGUCAAAAAUCGACUCAAAAGACAGUCCCCGGGCCCACAUUUUGAAAUUCGAUAAAAGUCACAAAAUCCGAAAGCCCAUUCAAUUACGAGUCGACCCAUACCAAAAUUACCCAAAUCCGACAGGACAAUCUCGAUCAAAACCUCAAAAUUCGGCCUAAGAACUUUCCUCCAUUUCCCCCCAAAUUUCCACCCCAAAUAACUAAUUUAAUGAUGAAAUUAAAGACAUAAUCAUGGAAAUUAACCAAAACUAGGUAGGAGUCACUUACCCCAAUCACCCACUUGAAAAUCUCUCCAUGAAUCGCCUCCCACCGAGCUCCCAAAUUAAUUUUUGUGUUAUGAACUCAAACCCUUAUUUUGAAAUAUUUAAAGUUCUGCCCAGUAAUUCUUAAUCGCGGUAGCGGAAAUAGCCUCGCGAUCGCGAAACACAACUCAGCUGCCCCAGAAAUAAAGACUACGCGAAAUAGGAGACCUCCACGCGAACGCGAACCACUGCUUCUUCCAACCUACACAAUCGUGUUUCCCCCUGCGAUCGCGAAGCACAACCGCGUGAGAACCAAUUGCCUCCUCUCAUCUUCGCGAACGCUGUAAUGCCCACGCGUUCGCGAUGCACUGACUAGCCAAACCUACACGAUCGCAUACCACUACUCGCGAAUGCAUAGGGCAAAUAUCACUACUGCUCCAAACAAGCCUACUGUCACGACCCAAAAUCUCACCUGUCGUGAUGGUGCCUAUCUCAAUAGUAGGCAAGCCGACAAUCUCAAUAAACCACCAUAUAUUUUAAGGUUGAAAACAUAAUAUUUAAAUUCAGCCGAAGAAAUCUCACAAUUACAAAUAUAAAUACUCCCAAAACUCGGUGUCACUGAGUACAUGGAUAUCUAAUAUGAAUACAAAGUCUGAUUGACAAAACACUGUCUGAAAGUAUAGAACAGUACAAUAACUGAAAGAAAGGGAGUCAAGGUCAGCGGACUCCGGACAGCCACCUUGAUAGUCUCCAACUGAUAGCACUCUGAGAUCUAACUGUCGCCGUGUCCGAAAUCACCUGGAUCUGCACACGAGGUGCAGAGUGUAGUAUGAGUACAACCAACUCAAUAAGUAACAAGACUAACCUUUGGACUGAAAGUAGGGACGAGCUCCGCAGGUACAGUGCAGUAUAAAUAAUAAUAAUACAGAAAUGUAGGCAUGCUUUCAAGUUCAACAGUUGCUUUCAGUACAAAAAAAAUAGAUCAAUUCUAAACAAUACGAGGAAUAUGACAUCUCUGUAUCUACAUGCCAAUGUACAUACUGUAUGUGAUGUACCUUAGUGAAAACACUGUGUACUCACAAUCUAAGAUACUCAAUCACUUAGUAUUGUAUAUGGCCAAUCCAGCCCAGGGGAGAUCCACCCCAAAUAUAUAUAUGUAUAUCCAUUAACUGACAGUCAGUCACUCAGUACUGUAUAAGGUCAAUCCAGUCCAGGGAAUAUCCAUCCCAUAUAUAUAUGUAUAUCCAUCAACUGACAUUCAGUCACUCAGUACCGUAUAAGGCCAAUCCAGCCUAGGGAAGAUCCAUCCCAAAUAUAUAUGUAUAUCCNNNNNNNNNNNNNNNNNNNNNNNNNNNNNNNNNNNNNNNNNNNNNNNNNNNNNNNNNNNNNNNNNNNNNNNNNNNNNNNNNNNNNNNNNNNNNNNNNNNNNNNNNNNNNNNNNNNNNNNNNNNNNNNNNNNNNNNNNNNNNNNNNNNNNNNNNNNNNNNNNNNNNNNNNNNNNNNNNNNNNNNNNNNNNNNNNNNNNNNNNNNNNNNNNNNNNNNNNNNNNNNNNNNNNNNNNNNNNNNNNNNNNNNNNNNNNNNNNNNNNNNNNNNNNNNNNNNNNNNNNNNNNNNNNNNNNNNNNNNNNNNNNNNNNNNNNNNNNNNNNNNNNNNNNNNNNNNNNNNNNNNNNNNNNNNNNNNNNNNNNNNNNNNNNNNNNNNNNNNNNNNNNNNNNNNNNNNNNNNUGCCUAGGGAAGAUCCAUCCCUCAAUAUAAAUGCUUCGGGUAAGAUCUAUGCCCAGGGAAGAUCUAUCUCUCGAUAUAAAUGCUUCAAGCAAGAUCCAUGCCCAGGGAAGAUCCAUCCCUCAAUAUAUAUCAACCGCACUCACUGGGGGUGUGUGCAGACUCCGGAGGGGCUCCUUCAGCCCAAGCGCUAUAAAUCAACCGCGCUCACUGGGUGUGUGUGCAGACUAUGGAGGGAUUCCUUCAGCCCGAGAUCUAUAUAAAGCCGAUAUGGGGUACUGUGGUGUGCAGUCCGAUCCGAUAAUAAUAAUUAAGCCUAUAAGGCCUGUUGCAGGCGGCCAUCCCCGAUCCAUAUAGUAAUAAAGCCUAUAAGGCCUGCUGCGGCAUGCAGCCCGAUCCUAUAAUAAUAAUAUAUAUAUAUAUAUAUAUAUAUAUAUAAAGUCCAUAUGGCCUGCUGCAGGCGGGCAACCCCGAUUCAAUAAAUAUCUUCACAAUGGAUGAGCAUGACUGAGUAUGAAAUGUACCUUUUAAAAUAAUUAAUUUAACAACAACACGACCCUAUGGGUCCCAAAAUAUCGGCACAUAGCCUAAACAUGAUCUUUAUUACGAGCCUCAGCUUAAUUCCUCUAACACGUGUGGCAUGUUCAGAUAAUAACAUGAUUCUUUAACUUUGCAACUUCACAGGAUUUAUUCAAGUCAAUUUAUAUGGUGCACGUCCUCGUCAACUAUCGUGUGUGUCACCUCCAAACAAUUUAUAUAAUACCAAUUCGGGGAUUCAUACCCUCAAAACCAAUUUUAUAAGUGUUACUUACCUCAACCCGUGUAAUUUCUCACUCUGUUAUUCCCUUUCCUCGAGAAUUGGUCUCUGAAGGCCUCGUAUCUAGUCACAAAUAAUUUGAUUCAGUCAAUAAAAAUUACUGGAAUUAAUUCCAUAAGAAAAUAUAAUUUUUCUAACAAAAUCCAAAAUUUAGCUCAAAAAUCGCCCGUGGGGCCCACGUCUCGGAACCCGACAAAAGUUACAAAAUUCGAAAGCCCAUUGAACCACGAGUCUAACCAUACCAAUUUUACCAAAAUCCGACCUCAACUCGACCCUCAAAUCUUCAAAUUAAACCAAGAGGUUUUUCUAAAUUUUUCAACUCAAUUCACUAAUUUAGUGAUAAAAACAACAAUAGAUUCAUGUAAUUUAACAAAAAUCAGGUUAGGAAUUCUUACCCCAAUGUUUUUCUUGAAACAAUCUCGAAAUAUCGGCUCACCUGAGCUUCCUUGGUCCAAAUAUGGAAGAAUGAGAUGAAUUUGGACUUUAUUCUGCUGCCCAGGGGUUUGUUCUUCGUGUUCGCGACCCUCCCCUCGCGUUCGCGAUGAACAAAAUCUCCAACAUCCAUUUUCAGACACUUCUCAGAUAGCCUCUAGUAUAAUGGUCAUAACAUUUUGUACAAAACUCUAAAUGUUAAAUGGUUUAAAUUUAGGAAAAUUAGACACCAAGGGCUAUAAUUUUCAUUUGUUGCUUAUCUUCCAAUUCCUUAUAGAUUUCGAGAUAUACGCUUCCAAAGUUAGCCCUGUGCAACAGAGAUUUUUAAGCUCUUCCCAGGAAGCCUGUAGUGUAUCUACUAUAUCCUUUGGUAACCAAAUCCAACUGACAAAUGGUUUACUUUUCCGAAUACUAGACACAAAGGACUACAACUUUCAUUUGUUGCUCAUCUCCCAAUUCCUUAUAGAUUGCAAGAUAUACGCUUUCAAAGUCAGCCUUGUGCAACAGAGAUUUUUAAACGCCUCCCAGAUAGUCUGUAAUGUAUCUACCAUAACCUUUUGUACACAACUCCAAAUGACAAAUGGUUUACCUUUCCGAAAACUAGACAGAAAGGGCUACAACUUUUAUUUUUGGAUCAAUUCCAAAUUCCUUAUACAUUGCGAGAUAUGAACUUCCAAAGUCAAACGAUGGAUAGCAAAAAUUCCUUCUUCGCGAAUGUGAAGAACAAAGUCCCAACAACAAAAUCCUUCUUCGCGAACGCGAGAGGAUCCUCGCGAACACGAAGAACAAUACCAGAACCAGCAACAUCAAAAUACCCAAACUUGGUCGGGAACCACCCCGAAUCAAACCCGAGGCCCCCGGGACUCCGUCCAAUUGUACCAACCAGUCCCAUUACAUAACACGAACCUGCUGGAGGCAUCAAAUCACAUCAAAUAACAUUAAAAACACGAAUCACACAUAGAUUCAAGCUUAAUGAACUUUGAAACUUCCAAUUUCUACAAACGACACCGGAAUCUAUCAAAUCACGUCUGAUUGACCUCAAAAUUUGCAUACAAGUCAUAAAUGACAUAAUGGGCCUAUUCAAAUUUCCAGAAUCGGAUUUUGACCCCGAUAUAAAAAAGUCAACCCCCCGGUCAAACUUCCCAAAAAUUUGACUUUCGCCAUUUCAAGCCUAAUUCCUCUAUGGACCUCCAAAUAAUUUUUCGGAUGCGUUCCUAAGUCCUAAAUCACCAUACAGAGCUAUUGGAAUCAUGAGAUUUCAAAUCCGAGGCCGUUUACACACAAGUCAACAUCCGGUUAACUUUUCCAGCUUAAGUUUUCAAUUAUGAGACUAAUUGUUUCAUUUCACCUCGAAAUCCUUCCGGACCCGAACUAACUAACCCAGUAAGUCAUAAAAUAAUUGUAAUAUAUAUAUUGAGCAGUAAAUGGGGGAACGGGAUUAUAAUACUCAAAACGACCGGCCGGGUCGUUACACUCUCCCCCACUUAAACAUAUGUUCGUCCUCGAACGUGCCAAGAGUUGUUUUCAAGCCACCAAAUCACUAUUCCAUCUUACCACGCAUGAACCCGGGGGUGAUCCCACGUCACCCUAUUCUAUAUAGGCCUGAAAACACAAUACAACUGAAAAUCGUUAAUUUAACCUUAGCCCAUAAACUUAGAACCCAAAUUUCCAACAUCCAGAAUUCUUUUCAAGACACGAAUCUCAUAUCUAUACAUUGUAUAAGUCUGAACAAGCUGUAUCAAGCCAUAUCCAUAACCCCAGAUAUAAUCACGUAACAUACUACGCAACUCACAUGCUCGCAGCACCAUUCCCGAUCACAGUAACUACUGAAACCAACCGCUACUGGUAUUAAACACCAUAUCAACCAAAAACUCGUUCCAAAACCUUCGUACACUGGUGAUAAUGACAGAAACACACGUAAUAUCAUGACCCCUUAUUCGAUCAACAAGUCAUGGAGCCCUCUCGCCCCAACCAGAACCAUAAUCACUUUCUAAGACGACUUUCAAUAUUAUCCUUCCGAAUAUACUGUAAUCAAACCUGAUAUUACCCAUUCUAGGUCUAAUGACCUUGUAUUAUUAAACACAACUAUCCUACAGAUAAGCCACAACGGCGCAAUUCUUGUACCCAAAAAUGGAAAAUGUCUCAAAGAAGAGAACCGUAUUGCAAGUUCAAAAAGAACCACCACAACUGCAAUGCUAUAAUCUCAUUAUAUAUAGUAGAACCAAGACACACGAAUUUAAUAAGAGUAACCAGCUCUUCUAGAGCUCACAUUAUCAUCACUCGCACGGCCAACUCACGUGCUAUUGUAUCAAUAUCUGGACCCGCACGGACAACUCAAGUGCCAAUAAUAUCAGUAUAUGGAUCCGCACGGACAACUCAUGUGCCAAUAAUAUGAUCUUCCUGGCAUGGUCACAUGCCUCCAGUCCAAGCAUAUCAUACAAGAGCAAUCAAAUAAGUACACAUGUAUAUGAUAAAUGAAUUAUGAUUCUCAUGAUCCUGGACUGGUAAAAAUAACAUGACAUGGAGUAGGCAGGUGCAAGGUGUGAUAUCACUACUCAAAUUAGCAAGUUAACGCAGAGAUAUUAACUACCCAAACAGGCCAAAAGACACAAGUCCCAUUAGCACAACGACCCCAAAGAAUUAACCCUGCCUUAACACCACCAAUCAAAUUCAUACUUCGUGCGCACUACAUCCUUCAAAAUAAAAAUUUAAUCAUUUCAUGAUUUUUCAUAAAGAGAAAUAUAAUCCGCAUUUAAGAAAUUUUCUUACUCAAGUCAUCCCCGACCUCAAUCUCUGCAAGUCAUAACCGAUUCACAUGUAUGUCUCAAACCGAAAUCAGUACAACACAUAACCAUGAAAUCAAAUCAUCAAUAGCAGGCUCCCCCACUUGGCUCAAAGCCAUAGAACAAAACAUUCCAUAACUCACAAUAUCCGUACUCUAUUACUGCCAUAAUACUUCAGUCAGUUCAACAAAAAUUCUUCACAAGCUCAGGUAACACAAACCAUAAAAUACCUCAAUUCAUUUGCUAAGAUCGCCUUCAUUCUCGUGACAGUCAGGUUAACUUUCUCAACCAGAUUCAAAUUCAAAUAUCAACACAUACACUCCGCUGGUAGAAAAUAAACUAUCCACUCAACAUUAUAGGGAACACACCUACGUAGAUUACUCCGCAAGAGAUAACCCACCUGUUUAGCCUCAAAUUGGCAUCUUGUUAUACUCUUUCAUAGCCAUAAUUACUACGCAAUCACUUAAUCUUGUCGAGUCCAAACUCAGUAACAAGACAUGAGAAUUUAAUUUGUCCCACAAUUUAACAACGUGAAAGAUCCUUCAACACAUUCAUACUCGAAACUAUACGUCAAAUCAAGACAGACACCAAGCACCCUUUUUUUCUUUUUUUAAUUAAAAGGAAAAUACUUCUCAUCACAUUCAAACUAUCUUAACACAUCCCGCAAUCACAUCAUACUUAUCAUAUAGCCAUUUAACCGCUCAUCGAGCUACAAAUUCCUCUCAUAGGAACAUUACCAGACAUAUGAGUCUAAAUAUACAAGUUCUCACAACCAAAACUGCUGAGUCUAAGUUGCGGUCUAAAUUUGGCUUCAAGUCCUCUAGAUCGGUCCAUCACCAAAACACAGAAUACACAUCUCCAACCUCGUCAUGGAAUCACAAGCCAACGAUGCACAGUUGAUACUGAGCGCUCACAUGCGCACACGAAUGCAUGGAAGGAAUUCAAAGAGUUAUGUUUCAAGCUGAAUCAAUUCCGCACGAUAGAAUACAAGAAAGUGAAAUUUUUCUAAGGGUUCAGCAGCCUCUCAAAGAUAAGUACAGACAUCUCUGUACCGAUCCGCAAGACUCUACUAAACCUGCUCAUGACUCGUGAGACCUAUGUAACCUAGAGCUCUGAUACCAACUUGUCACGACCCAAAAUAUUACAUGUCGUGAUGGCAUCUAUCUUAAUACUAGGCAAGCCGACAAUCUCAAUAAACCACCAUAUAUUUUAAGUUUGAAAACAUAAUAUUUAAAUUCAGCGAAAGAAAUCUCACAAUUACAUAUAUAAACACUCCCAAAAUCCGGUGUCACUGAGUACAUGAGCAUCUAAUAUGAAUACAAAGUCUAAUUGACAAAACACUGUCUGAAAGUAUAGAACAGUAAAAUAACUGAAAGAAAGGGAAUCAAGGUCAGCGGACUCCGGACAACUACCUUGAAAAUCUCCAACUGAUAGCACUCUGAGAUCUAACGGUCGUCGUAUCUGAAAGCACCUAGAUCUAUACACGAGGUGCAAAGUGUAGUAUGAGUACAACCAACUAAAUAAGUAACAAGACUAACCUUUGGACUAAAAGUAGGGACGAGCUCCGCAUGUACAAUCCAGUAUAAAUAAUAACAAUACAGAAAUGUAGGCAUGCUUUCAAGUUCAACUGUUGCUUUCAAUACAAAUAAAAUAGAUCAAUUCUGAACAAUAUGAGGAAUAUGUCAUCUCUGUAUCUACAUGCCAAUGUACAUACUGUAUCUGAUGCACCUUAGUGAAAACUCUGUGUACUUACAAUCUAAGAUACUCAAUCACUCAGUAUUGGAUAUGGCCAAUCCAGCCCAGGAAAGAUCCAUCCCAAAUAUAUAUGUAUAUCCGUCAACUCACAGUUAGUCACUCAGUACUAUAUAAGGCCAAUCCAGCCCAGGGAAGAUCCAUCCCAAAUAUAAAUGUAUAUCCAUCAACUGACAGUCAGUCACUCAGUACCGUAUAAGGUCAAUCCAGCCCAGGGAAUAUCCAUCCCAAAUAUAUAUGUAUAUCUAUCAACUGACAAUCAGUCACUCAGUACUAUAUAAGGCCAAUCCAACCGAGAGGAAGAUCCAUCCCUCAAUAUAAAUGCUUUGGGCAAGAUCCAUGCCCAGGGAAGAUCCAUCCCUCGAUGUAAAUGCUUCGGGCAAGAUCCAUCCCUCAAUAUAUAUCAACCACGCUCACUGGGGGUGUGUACAGACUCCGGAGGGGCUCCUUCAACCCAAACGCUAUAAAUCAACCGCGCUCACUGGGGGUGUGUGUAAACUCUGGAGGGGCUCCUUCAGCACAAGCGUUAUAUAAAGCCGAUAUGGCCUACUACGGCGUGCAGUCUGAUCCCAUAAUAAUAAUAAAGCCUAUAAGGCCUGUUGCAGGCGGACAUCCCCGAUCCAUAUAGUAAUAAAGCCUAUAAGGCCUGCUGCGGCGUGCAACCCGAUCCUAUAAUAAUAAUAAUAUAUAUAUAAAGUCGAUAUGGCCUGCUGCAGGCGGGCAACCCCGAUUCAAUAAAUAUUUUCACAAUGGAUGAGCAUGACUGAGUAUGAAAUGUACAUUUUAAAAUAAUUAAUUCAACAGCAACACGACCCUAUGGGUCCCAAAAAUAUCGACACAUAGCUUAAACAUGAUUUUUAUUACGAGCCUCAGCUCAAUUCCUCUAACACGUGUGGCAUGUUCAGAUAAUAACAUGAUUCUUUAACUUUGCAACUUUACAGGAUUUAUUCAAGUCAAUUUAUAUGGUGCACAUCCUCGUCAACUAUCGUGUGUGUCACCUCCAAACAAUUUAUAUAGCACCAAUUCGGGGAUUCAUACCCUCAGAACCAACUUUAUAAGUGUUACUUACCUCAACCCGUGUAAUUUCUCACUCUGUUAUUCCCUUGCCUCGAGAAUUGGUCUUCGAAAGCCUCGUAUCUAGUCACAAAUAAUUCGAUUCAGUCAAUAAAGAUUACUAAAAUUAAUUCCAUAAGAAAAUAUAAUUAUUUCAAUAAAAUUCGAAAUUUAGCUCAAAAAUCGCCCGUGGAGCCCAUGUCUCGGAACCCGACAAAAGUUACAAAAUCCGAAAGUCCAUUGAACCAUGAGUCUAACAUUACCAAUUUUACAAAAAUCCGACCUCAACUCGACCCUCAAAUCUUCAAAUUAAACCAAGAGGGUUUUCUAAAUUUUUCAACUCAAUUCAUUAAUUUAGUGAUAAAAACAACAAUAGAUUCAUGUAAUUUAACCAAAAUCAGGUUAGGAAUUCUUACCCCAAUAUUUUCCUUGAAAAACUCUCGAAACAUCGCCUCACCCGAGCUUCCUUGGUCAAAUAAUGGAAGAAUGAGACGAAUUUGGACUUUAUUCUGCUGCCCAGGGGUUUGUACUUCGCGUUCGCGAUGAACAAAAUCUCCAACAACCAUUUUCAAACCCUUCUUAGACAGCCUCUAGUAUAAUGGUUAUAACUUCCUUUAUAAAACUCAAAAUGUUGAAUGGUUUAAAUUUCGAAAAACUAGAAAACAAGGGCUAUAACUUUCAUUUGUUGCUCAUCUCCCAAUUCCUUAUAGAUUGUGAGAUAUACGCUUUCAAAGUCAGCCCUGUGCAACAGAGAUUUUCAAGCUCUUCCCAGACAGCCCGUAGUGUAUCCACCAUAACAUUUGGUACACAACUCCAACUGGCAAAUGGUUUACUUUUCUGAAUACUAAACACAAAGUGCUACAACUUUAUUUGUUGCUCAUCUUCCAGUUCCUUAUAGAUUACUAGAUAUACGCUUCCAAAAUCAGCCCUGUGAAACAAAGAUUUUCAAAUUCUUCCCAGACAGCCUGUAGUAUAUCCACCAUAACUGUUUGUACACCACUCCAAAUGACAAAUAGUUUACCUUUUUGCAAAACUAGAUGCAAAGGACUACAACUUUUAUUUAGGAUCUACUUUAAAUUCCUUAUAGAUUGCGAGAUAUGAGCCUCCAAAGUCAGAUGACGGACAACAAACAUUCCUUCUUCGCGAACGCAAGAGCCUCUUCGCGAACGCGAAGAACAAAGUCCCAACAUCAAAAUACUUCUUCGCGAACACAAGAGGCUCCUCACGAAUGCGAAGAACAAUACCAGAACCAACAACCAGCAUCAUCAAAACACCCAAACUUGGUCCGGAACCACCCCGAAUCAAACCCGAGGCCCCGGGACCCCGUCCAAUCGUAGAAACCAGUCCCAUUACAUAACACGAACAUGCUCGAGGCCUCAAAUCACAUCAAACAACACUAAAAACAAGAAUCACACAUAGAUUCAAGCCUAAUGAACUUUGAAACUUCCAAUUUCUACAAACGACAUCGGAACCUAUCAAAUCACGUCCGAUUGACCUCAAAUUUUGCACACAAGUCAUAAAUGACAUAACAAACCUAUUCAGAUUUCCAGAAUCGGAUUUCGACCCCGAUAUCAAAAAGUUUACCCCCCGGCCAAACUUUUCAAAAAUUUAACUUUCGCCAUUUCAAGCCUAAUUCCUCUACAGACCUCCAAAUAAUCUUUCGGACACGCUCCUAAGUCCUAAAUCACUAUACGGAGCUAUUGGAAUCAUCAGAAUUCAAAUUUGAGGUCGUUUACACAUAAGUCAACAUCCGGUUAACUUUUUCAACUUAAGUUUUCAAUUAUGAGACUAAGUGUCUCAUUUCACCCCGAAAUCCUUUCGGACCCGAACCAACUAACCAGGUAAGUCAUAAAAUAACUGUAAAGCAUAAAUUGAGCAGUAAAUAGGGGAACUGGGUUAUAAACUCAAAAUGAUCGGCCGAAUCGUUACACCUAUGCGAUCGCGUACAAGGAAACCAGAUCAGAGACACCAGAAAACUUCAGCCAUAACAUCAAGUUCAAAAUUGAUCCGUUAACCAUCUGGAAUCAACCGGAGGCCCUCGAGACCUCAAACCAAACAUACCAACAAGUCUUAAAACACGAUACGAACUUAGUCGGGCCCUCAAAUCACAUCAAACAACAUCAAGAAUAUGAAUUACACCCUAAUUCAAGUCUAUUGAAACUAAGGAAUUCCAACUUCUACAAAUGACGCUGAAACCUAUCGAAUCACGUCCAAUUGACCCCAAAUUUUGCACACAACCUACUCCAACUUUCGGAACUGGAAUCUAACUCCGAUAUCAAAAAGUUCACUUCCGGUCAAACUUUUCAAAAAUCCAACUUUCGUCAUUUCAAGCCUAAUUCUACUACGGACCUCCAAAUAACAAUCAGGACAUGCUUCUAAGUCCAAAAUCACCCAACGGAGCUAACGAAAAUAUCCAAACUCCAUUCCGGAGUCGUUUACGUAUAAGCCAACAUCAUGUCAACCAUUUCAACUUAAGCUUUCAACCAUGAGACUAAGUGUCUCAUUUCCUUCCAAAACCUGACCGGACCAGAACCGAUUACCUUGACAAGUCACAUAACAACUAUAAAGUACAAAAUGAGCAGUAAAUGAGGGAACAGGGCUACAACUCUCAAAACGACCGGCCGGAUCGUUACAGCUCCAAAGUUAUGAAUUCGAAGGUUUAUAUGUUUGGAAGUUUGCGAAUUUAGAAAUUAUAGAGUUUACAUGUUCAAAAGUUUAGCGGUUCGGAAGUUUAUGAAAUUUGUGGGUUAGGAAGGUUGUUGGUUCGAAAGUUUAUUGCUUCAUGUUUAUUGUAUCUAAAUUAUUUAUGAAUACUCUUGAGAAGUUAUUUUCCUUAAUUUGCGAAUCAAACACCGAAAAAUGAGUAAGAUUUCUACUUGUUUUUCAAGAAAAUAUUUUCCGCGAAAAAUAUUUUCCGUUAUACCAAACACACCCUGAAUGAGCUUUAUAAGUCGCAACUACUGAAUGCGAUGUACAAGUCGGGUAAAUGCUCGACGCAUUACCUCACUCGAUUUAACUUAGGACCGACCCUUUUCUGUUAACUAAACGUCAACAACCUCAAUUCCUCCGUCUUCCACCGUUCUUCAAAUCGGACAUUCUCAAGACUUAGAGCCCGUUUGGAUUAGCUGAUUUGAAGUAGCUGAUAAGCAUUACAUGCUGAAAAGCAUUUUUAAGUGCUGAAAUUGAUUUAAUAAAUAAACAGUUACGUGUUUGGAUACAAGUGCUGAAAUUGAUAAUAAAUUGCUACGGUAUUUGAUAAAAUAGUUCUGAUAAGCUCUUUUUCUGUUAAAAUAACUUGAAUAACCUUAGAACUGUUUACACUUAUAAGGACAUAAUUUCUUCAAAAUUUUAGAUUCUAGAUCGAUUCAAAUACAAAAUAUUCUAUUUAUCAUUUUAUUUUAAAUACAAUUGUAAUUAAAUAAGAUACUUUUUAUGAUAAAUAUAAUUUAUUUUAUGAUAAGCAUAUAAUCAUAAGUUAUAAUAAUUAAUAAAUUGACAAAAGUUUCUCAGUAAAAAAAAAAUCUAAAUAGGAUAAUAUAUUUUAAGAGAAGCACUGUCUUCAUCACCACAACACUUUGAAACCAAUACACCAAAAAUUUGAUAUGUCCUCGUUUAUUACAUACAGUUCAAAGAUUUAUACAAAAUCACAUAAAUACAAAUAUGUAAAGGAAUAGAGAAUUUGCUUACCUAAAAUAGUCAAUGAGAAUUGCAAACUUGAAGAGACAUGGGGUUUAGGUUGAAAAAAUACUUGAGGCAAUGAUAUCGAUGUAGGAGUUUUGUUUUGAAAAGGAAUAUUUUAGAGAUAAAAUAAUAAAAAUCUUGGUCAAACUUAAAGUGCUUAUAAGCUAAAAAUUCAUAAGCUGGGGGUAACCAGCUUAUGGCUUUUGACUUAUUUUUGGCUUAUAAGCACUUUUAACUUUACCAAACACAUAAAUAAACCAAAAAAUAUUUAUAAGCUAGUUUGACCAGCUUAUAAGCUUAAAAAACCUCCUCUUACUUUUGUUUGUUUGUUUAUAUUUGUCCAGCUCGAACUCGGCAUCCGCAUUCACAAUUCGUAAGUCGUACUCCGAUUGGGAAUGAUGCUCAUUUAUAUUUAUUUCCUCCUUGUGUAUUGUGAGAGCUAGAAAAGCUUUUAUUUCCAACACUUUUGUUUUCCCUCGUCGAAAAACUAAGGAGAAAAAAAAAUUGAAAGCCUUAUUUUUUAAAUGUGUAAACCUCUUCCCUUAUGGAGUAUUUAUUGCUUAAC